This is a long non-coding RNA of Penaeus chinensis, 966 nucleotides long. RefSeq lists it as uncharacterized. Lineage: Eukaryota; Metazoa; Arthropoda; Malacostraca; Decapoda; Penaeidae. The transcript has 3 exons. The record is from RefSeq and is a predicted model, not a curated record.
CCGCUAAUGAUUUAGUCUGGCCUGACUCAACCACUUUCAUCAGGUGUGCGUCAGUUUGCUUAGUUAUACUGACUUUAAAUCAGGAGAGCAGAAGAAAUAAAAACAACACCCUUUUAGAUGGAUCAUGUAGCACGUCCUCCUAAUCUGCUCUCUCCCUCGAUGGACCUACCACACGCACCGGCAAGGGGUCCUGCGUCGGGAGCCCAGCAGCGUUGGUCGCCGUGGGAACAUAUUAUCCUACCGCAGCUGAGCCGCUUUCUGCCCUACGCCCCAACGGCCUCCCGCAGCAGCACGCCCACCAGCCCCCUCUACCCCCGCCUUUGGAGUCCGUGAGUCAGCGCGCGAUGGCGGAUGUCGAGCCCAGGAGGAGCGGCCGGAUCAGAUGUGUUCGUCGGAGUUGCGGUCGAGGCAUCGGCGGGGACUUCGGGGAGACGGUGGUGGGCGUCUGGGUACGGCGGCUGUGAUGAGAUUGCGAUCGUGGCGUGACAUUCCCGAUUGACUAUUCAUCUGUUUUAUCGAGCCUAUUUCCAUGAUAAUGCAAUCUUUCCGUUUUGUCCCUCGCCUGCCCCGUCGGCAUUCACGGCGCGCCCCUCCCAUCAGCCCCCUGUCUUGGCCCGGUCCCUGUGCUCGAGGCGGCGUCCUCUCGUAUUCCUCUCACGCUGUGACGCACCGACCGUCCCUCUCCCGAAGCCAGGCCUCCUGAGACCUCUCCUCCACCUCCGAGCCACGCCCCCUCUCCCGCCGGCCCGUCCUUUGACUCAGUUUUUGUGGGUGGCCGGUGGGUGCUCACCACGGCCCUCCACCUCCCGCCCAACCCUCCAGCCGAACUUCCUCCUCCCACAGCAAUUCCUCAGGCAUCAUUUAUCUAUUCCACCUUCUUCCUCCUUGAUCUCGACCUCUCAAGUUCGCCUCCCUAUCUCCCAGGCCACCUUCACACGGAUCACCUCGCAGCGGAGAUCGACGGCG